This 177-nucleotide long non-coding RNA is filed under the name Dermacentor andersoni. RNAcentral describes it as "uncharacterized LOC126532986". The record is from RNAcentral. Lineage: Eukaryota; Metazoa; Arthropoda; Arachnida; Ixodida; Ixodidae.
CUGGAAGCUUGUUUUCCCCACGGGGUGAAGUGCGAUGUGUUUGCUCACCUGGAGAGGAGCGGCCUGGCUGCCACCGCUUUUUCUUGGACAGAACCAGCAGCACGACAGAACCGAGCACUGUGGCCGAGCCAGCCACCAAAACUACAGCCAGGGGCCAGGCCUUGUCUCCUUCGCCAC